UCUAUCUUUACAGAUUGGCUGCCUAAGAUAAAUCUACCUAUCUAGAAUCUGCACUAAAGUGUUGAAUCAACACAGAAAACCAAAACAGUCGAAUAACAAAUGUUACUCGAACAAAGCAGUCUGCUACGCUCCAAUGUCCUCGAUCUUUAACCCUUACCCUUGACCUCCCGUCAAUACAGAGUAAGCCUUUACAGAUUGGCUGCCUAAGACUCCUCCGUCAAAGCAAGGUUUGAAGAACUGGUGUCAUGUUUGCAGCAAGACAAAAGUGACGAGUUGGUUGUGAGCGAAUGUUAGGUCGGUGAAAACGCACUCCCAAAACGUAAGGAUGAAUGAGGCUUCUUGCUGCUUUUAUAGACCUUCAUGUCGUGGUUAGUUUCCUCCACUUCCCACUUCCAGAAGCUUCCAAUAACCGCUGCAAUCCACCUCCGAAAACUGCCAGUCGACCAGUCUGGAAUGUUGGUUGAGAGAUCAUGGGUCCUGAAAAGUAGGAACUAACAGCCCACCACUUUGGACCAUGAUAAACCACCUUUCCACUUAUUAAAAACGUGGUCAACAAGCAUAAAACCUUUAUUCCACAACCAAAGAAUAAUAAAA
RNAcentral lists this long non-coding RNA (594 nucleotides) under Salvia miltiorrhiza (redroot sage). Its description in RNAcentral is "long non-coding RNA (SMIL_LNC012447)". The record is from RNAcentral. Lineage: Eukaryota; Viridiplantae; Streptophyta; Magnoliopsida; Lamiales; Lamiaceae.